AUUGAACGCUGGCGGCAGGCUUAACACAUGCAAGUCGAGCGGGGGAAGGUAGCUUGCUACCGGACCUAGCGGCGGACGGGUGAGUAAUGCUUAGGAAUCUGCCUAUUAGUGGGGGACAACAUCUCGAAAGGGAUGCUAAUACCGCAUACGUCCUACGGGAGAAAGCAGGGGAUCUUCGGACCUUGCGCUAAUAGAUGAGCCUAAGUCGGAUUAGCUAGUUGGUGGGGUAAAGGCCUACCAAGGCGACGAUCUGUAGCGGGUCUGAGAGGAUGAUCCGCCACACGGGGACUGAGACACGGCCCAGAGUCCUACGGGAGGCAGCAGUGGGGAAUAUUGGACAAUGGGGGGAACCCUGAUCAAGCCAUGCCGCGUGUGGGAAGAAGGCCUUAUGGUUGUAAAGCACUUUAAGCGAGGAGGAGGCUACUCUAGUUAAUACCUAGGGAUAGUGGACGUUACUCGCAGAAUAAGCACCGGCUAACUCUGUGCCAGCCGCCGCCGUAA
RNAcentral lists this ribosomal RNA (501 nucleotides) under uncultured bacterium. Its description in RNAcentral is "partial 16S ribosomal RNA". It matches the Rfam family "Bacterial small subunit ribosomal RNA", at positions 30 to 523 of the family's 1533-position model. The record is from RNAcentral.